Molecule: ribosomal RNA, 491 nt
Filed under: uncultured bacterium
Lineage: Bacteria
Description: bacterial SSU rRNA
Rfam family: Bacterial small subunit ribosomal RNA
Source: RNAcentral
AUGAACGCUGGCGGCGUGCUUAACACAUGCAAGUCGAACGAAGCGAUUUGACGAAGUUUUCGGAUGGAAGUCAAAUUUGACUGAGUGGCGGACGGGUGAGUAACGCGUGGGUAACCUGCCUCAUACAGGGGGAUAACAGUUAGAAAUGACUGCUAAUACCGCAUAAGCGCACGGAAGCGCAUGCUUCUGUGUGAAAAACUCCGGUGGUAUGAGAUGGACCUGCGUCUGAUUAGCUAGUUGGUGAGGUAACGGCCCACCAAGGCGACGAUCAGUAGCCGACCUGAGAGGGUGACCGGCCACAUUGGGACUGAGACGACGGCCCAAACUCCUACGGGAGGCAGCAGUUGGGAAUAUUGCACAUGGGGAAACCCUGAUGCAGCGACGCCGCGUGAGUGAAGAAGUAUUUCGGUAUGUAAAGCUCUAUCAGCAGGGAAGAGAUGACGGUACCUGACUAAGAGCCCCGGCUAACUACGUGCCAGCAGCCGCGGUAA